This 235-nucleotide long non-coding RNA is filed under the name Mytilus galloprovincialis (Mediterranean mussel). Lineage: Eukaryota; Metazoa; Mollusca; Bivalvia; Mytilida; Mytilidae. The record is from RNAcentral.
UCGGUGUCUAUUUCCUUAUUCGAUUUCCAUUUCCUAAUUCGAUUUUCAUUUCCUUAUUCGGUUUCUUUUUCCUUUUUCAAUAUUCAUUUCCUUUUUCGGUUUCUAUUUCCUUAUUCGGUUUCUAUUUCCUUAUUGGAUUUUCAUUUGCUUAUUCGAUUUCCAUUUCCUUAUUCGAUUUCUGUUUCCUUAUUCGGUUUCUAUUUCCAUAUUCGGUUUCUAUUUCCUUAGGUAGCAC